This is a non-coding RNA of Brachypodium distachyon (stiff brome), 134 nucleotides long. The record is from Rfam. Lineage: Eukaryota; Viridiplantae; Streptophyta; Magnoliopsida; Poales; Poaceae.
AUAAUACUCCCUCCGUCAACAAAAGAUGUCUCAAUUUUGACCAAAUUUGAAUGUAUCUAUACACUAAGUCAUGUCUAGAUACAUCCAAAUUUUAACAAACUUGAGACAUCUUUUGUUGUACGGAUGAAUAUAUC